UUGUUCCACUCCCACAUGGAUGUGCCUGAGCUGGAGGCCCUGUAGCAGCCAAACUCUGCUCUUUUAACAGCACUCCUGGGAAGAAUUCACCACAGAAGAGCAAAGGGCAGCUUUCCCUCCACCAGCAUCAGGCAGGGCUACUACUGCUCUUUAAUUCCAGAUGCCCUUGGAGUCAGAGCUGGGCAUCUCCUUGCCCAUGAAGAGGGCUCACCUACUGGCAUUGCUCUGGUGCACAGAGAGCACAAAAUAAGGCUGGAGAGAAGCGCCCCGAGCAAUGCCAAUUUCCCUGCUCGGUUUCCCAGCCAGGAACACUCGGACCAUGUCUUGAGGAAACUGCUGACACCUCUUCCCACCUCAGCUCUGUCACUGUCCCCCAUGGGGCUGUUGGUGAUGCAGACCAGGCUGGUUCUGCUCUGGCUCUGAACAGCCUGUUUCUCCCCCACACAUCUAUUAUACAAACUCAUGUAAGUUCACUGGGUAAAGCCUGAUGUUCAACUUUUGCACAAAGUCAGCAGAAUGAAAGAAAAAGGAGAAGCCCAACCCCCACUGCUUUCUCCAGUUUUGCUCCGUAUGCAAAACCUGUCUGUACAGUUCUGCUGAGCGCUGAUGCCCUACUUUCAUCCCUCACAUAGCUCAACUAAAAAUACACUGAGAUUUCAAGCAAGGUCCCUGCUGUGAACUGUCUGAGUGAGCAGGCGUUGCUGCAGCCCCAGCCCCACCCAUGCCUGCACCAUCCCGUGCUCCCGGCACAAUUUUCACCAGCCCUGGGCACCACACAGGAUGAGAAAAAGCUGGCAAUCUGGAGAAAAUCAAUACCCCUCCUUUCCAUCAGCUCCAGCAAAAUGUCCUGACGUGGUGUUGCAAGGGCAAAACUGAAGGAAGAGAUGAGGUAACUUAGGAGCUACUCGCUACUAUUGCUACUAUUAGUGGUGUUUGUAACACAGCGGUACCAAUGAAGCCCUGCUGGUAUCGAGUGUGGUUUAGAGCAGUAACAUCUGGAGCUCUGAAACAGUCAUGAAAAUAAAACCAUGGCCAAAACUAUUCAUACUUGCUUUAUGUGCUGAGAAGAGACUACCAUGCUAUUUUUUUGUCUGAUUUGUGCAGUCCUGAGGAAGCAAGAUAAA
This is a long non-coding RNA of Corvus hawaiiensis (hawaiian crow), 1124 nucleotides long. RefSeq lists it as uncharacterized. NCBI's taxonomy places the organism in Eukaryota, Metazoa, Chordata, Aves, Passeriformes, Corvidae. The record is from RefSeq and is a predicted model, not a curated record. The transcript is spliced from 3 exons.